CCUACGGGGGGCUGCAGUGGGGAAUAUUGGACAAUGGGGGGAACCCUGAUCCAGCCAUGCCGCGUGUGUGAAGAAGGCCCUCGGGUUGUAAAGCACUUUCAGUGAGGAAGAACGCCUGGUGGUUAAUACCCAUCAGGAAAGACAUCACUCACAGAAGAAGCACCGGCUAACUCCGUGCCAGCAGCCGCGGUAAUACGGAGGGGUGCGAGCGUUAAUCGGAAUUACUGGGCGUAAAGCGCGCGUAGGUGGCUUGAUAAGCCGGUUGUGAAAGCCCCGGGCUCAACCUGGGAACGGCAUCCGGAACUGUCAAGCUAGAGUGCAGGAGAGGAAGGUAGAAUUCCCGGUGUAGCGGUGAAAUGCGUAGAGAUCGGGAGGAAUACCAGUGGCGAAGGCGGCCUUCUGGACUGACACUGACACUGAGGUGCGAAAGCGUGGGUAGCAAACAGGAUUAGAUACCCGGGUAGUC
RNAcentral lists this ribosomal RNA (466 nucleotides) under Vreelandella stevensii. RNAcentral's name for it is "partial 16S ribosomal RNA". It matches the Rfam family "Bacterial small subunit ribosomal RNA", at positions 338 to 795 of the family's 1533-position model. Lineage: Bacteria; Pseudomonadati; Pseudomonadota; Gammaproteobacteria; Oceanospirillales; Halomonadaceae. The record is from RNAcentral.